UCCAUUGAUGCUUCUUUUCCUCCUCUUUAUAGAAAUUAGUAUAGUUUUGGGAGCUGCAGUGACCCAGGACCAAUUGCCCUAAACGCUUGAGAUUGGACCAGCUAGACAUCAAUAUAAAUGUAUUUUAAGGUGAACAAUCCCAAAAUGGAACUGUUAAGUCCAUAUGCACCAGCAAUACUAAUGGGUAAUCAAUGAUUGUAGGCAACCUCCUGCAAUAACAGUUCCAAAACAGUGAUGUAGUAAUGGAAGUUGCUGUGAAACAUACCCCUGUAAUGCUCACUCAUACAGUACAUUCGUUUACAAAUGCACAUUUAUGAAUGAUCAAAUAAAUAACCAUACCUGGCCUGUAAA
Molecule: long non-coding RNA, 351 nt
Organism: Varanus komodoensis (Komodo dragon)
Lineage: Eukaryota; Metazoa; Chordata; Lepidosauria; Squamata; Varanidae
Exons: 2
Source: RefSeq, a predicted model, not a curated record